GCCGCGGUAGUAUAGCCCGGUCAAGGACAACGCCGAGAGUAUGCGGGCCUCUCAAGCCCGUGGCCCGGGUUCAAAUCCCGGCCGCGGCA
RNAcentral lists this transfer RNA (89 nucleotides) under Metallosphaera hakonensis. Its description in RNAcentral is "tRNA-Glu". It matches the Rfam family "tRNA". Rfam says of the family: Transfer RNA (tRNA) molecules are approximately 80 nucleotides in length. Their secondary structure includes four short double-helical elements and three loops (D, anti-codon, and T loops). Further hydrogen bonds mediate the characteristic L-shaped molecular structure. tRNAs have two regions of fundamental functional importance: the anti-codon, which is responsible for specific mRNA codon recognition, and the 3' end, to which the tRNAs corresponding amino acid is attached (by aminoacyl-tRNA synthetases). tRNAs cope with the degeneracy of the genetic code in two manners: having more than one tRNA (with a specific anti-codon) for a particular amino acid; and 'wobble' base-pairing, i.e. permitting non-standard base-pairing at the 3rd anti-codon position. Lineage: Archaea; Thermoproteati; Thermoproteota; Thermoprotei; Sulfolobales; Sulfolobaceae. The record is from RNAcentral.